GUGUGACUAGAGACAAGGAAAUGGGUCACGAAGUUGUGGCCAAAGCCCAGAAAAGAGUUGUUCCAAAGUACUAACGGGUGGGUGGCAUAUGGCACUUGGACAAGACAUGAGAUUUCAGAGAAAACUUAAGAGACAUCUCACAUUAAAAAUGGCUUGACCAAGUAUUUAUUUUCAGGUACAGGGGGUCAAUUUAAAUAUCUAAAACUUAAAGAUUCCACUCCCUAAAAGGCCAAGUGUAUAAAUUUAAAUUCAGAAGUUC
This 259-nucleotide long non-coding RNA is filed under the name Homo sapiens (human). RNAcentral's name for it is "HSALNT0071998". Lineage: Eukaryota; Metazoa; Chordata; Mammalia; Primates; Hominidae. The record is from RNAcentral.